RNAcentral lists this long non-coding RNA (1005 nucleotides) under Marmota monax (woodchuck). The record is from RNAcentral. Lineage: Eukaryota; Metazoa; Chordata; Mammalia; Rodentia; Sciuridae.
GGUCCAUCCCAAGCCCUCCGUCCAGGGCCGCUGCCGUGGGAGGCCCCAAGCAAGAGCGUGCUGUGUGAGGUGGUCCUGCGUGGGCCCCAUUCCACCAGAAUGACCAGGAGGGCCGGGGAGCUGGGGGCAGCCUCUCCAGGGAGCGGAGCCUGAGCUCAGCCCCGGGAGGCUCCUGGUGGGCAGGCGAGGCCCCCUGCACUGGAGGCUCUGCUGGGCCUGGGCAGGAGGGACCGGGAGCUCCCUGCAGCUGCCGCUCAGCCCACCCCUCCCCUCCUCCACACGAGGCCGUCCAGCUGGGCUGGGAGGGGUGAGGGUCUGUGCUGGGAUAGCCCCAGAGCAGGGACGCAGGGGCUCGCCAUCUACUGCUCAGUGCCACUGGGUGCCCGGACAUCACCCUCACUGCCUCUGCUCCCCAGAUGCCUGCAGAGAGGUCCAUCACCCCCCUCGGACCGGGCAGCUGAGGCUGGAGGCAGGCCACAGAGCAGGGACGUCAGACUCGCGUCCCGUCCACUGUCCCCAGCUGUCCCCAUGACCACAACUCCGGGCAGGUGGGACCUGGGAGGUUGGCCAUGGACCUCCUGUCUCCCACACCUCAAGUCCACCUCUGGAUUAAAUGCCAGAGGACCCCCUCUUUGCAGGCCCUUGAACCCUAAAUAGGAGGCGUUUUGGAGACAACCAGGUGAACCCUGGAGAACUCCCGCACCCGUCUGUCUCUGUGACCUUGGGCAGGGCACUGCACCUCUCUGAGCCUGGCCCUCCCUGUGAAACGGGCUUUCGCGACCACCUCGUAGGGUCUUCAUGAGCACAAGGUGGAGGGAAGGCCGGGGCAGCCCACCCUGCCGCCCUCCUCUUCUGCCCAAAGGGUGACCUUAACCCCCGCUGCUCACAGGCACAGUGUCAGCGUCUGGAACACUGCGGGCACACGGGCGCGGUCGGGACAUCAAGUGACAUUAGGUGGCGAUUUUCUGUGACGUGGUACUUGGGCCCCCAGCACCACGGUCUCCU